UCUUCUUCUUCUUCUUCUUUCCUAUCCUUCUUCUCCUCUCCUAUUCUCAACAGAACAGACAGCACCCGACACCUAUCUUUUUCCCUCCUUUUUUUAUACUCUUUGUUUCUUUUCUCUCCUUUUCUUCUCUCUUAUUCUAUUCUGUUGUAUUUUUCACUCUCAUCAGAUGCCUUUUUUAAAAACACAGCAGUUUGUAUUUUAUUAAGUUUUCUCUUAUCAAGAAGAAUCUCAAUAUUAAGCAAAUGAAAAAAAUCGGGCCACACCUCUGGAUACACCCAUUUGCAUGCUUUACUGAUAUCGCAUCACUACUUCCCUCAUCAGUAUCUGGUUCUGAUAGAAUUGAG
RNAcentral lists this unclassified non-coding RNA (344 nucleotides) under Hevea brasiliensis (rubber tree). The record is from RNAcentral. Lineage: Eukaryota; Viridiplantae; Streptophyta; Magnoliopsida; Malpighiales; Euphorbiaceae.